GACCAAGUGAUGGAACUGGUAUACAUCUUGGACUUAAAAUCCAAGGCUUGAAAUAUAGAUUGAGGGUUCAAACCCCUCCUUGGUCACCA
This 89-nucleotide transfer RNA is filed under the name Bacilli bacterium. RNAcentral's name for it is "tRNA-Leu". It matches the Rfam family "tRNA". From Rfam's summary of the family: Transfer RNA (tRNA) molecules are approximately 80 nucleotides in length. Lineage: Bacteria; Bacillati; Bacillota; Bacilli. The record is from RNAcentral.